This is a long non-coding RNA of Neofelis nebulosa (Clouded leopard), 212 nucleotides long. RefSeq lists it as uncharacterized. The record is from RefSeq and is a predicted model, not a curated record. Lineage: Eukaryota; Metazoa; Chordata; Mammalia; Carnivora; Felidae. The transcript is spliced from 2 exons.
AACUGAGCUAUUUCUCCUUCUCUGACUCAGAAGAAAGACAGAAAACUGUGAAAUAGCACGAGGAAACAACUUCUUGCGGAAGCACUUUGAUACCAUAAGGCCAGACCUUACGAUGCCAAACUGCAGUUGCUGAAUUCUGAAACUUAAAUGCAAUGGGACGAAUUGGAUCAUGGGGUGGCAGGAGCCAAGUGGCAGCACUAAAGGAAAGGUGA